Molecule: unclassified non-coding RNA, 291 nt
Filed under: uncultured Capnodiales
Lineage: Eukaryota; Fungi; Ascomycota; Dothideomycetes; Capnodiales
Description: sequence contains ITS1
Rfam family: 5.8S ribosomal RNA (bases 1-105)
Source: RNAcentral
GAAAUGCGAUAAGUAAUGUGAAUUGCAGAAUUCAGUGAAUCAUCGAAUCUUUGAACGCACAUUGCGCCCCUUGGUAUUCCGAGGGGCAUGCCUGUUCGAGCGUCAUUUCACCACUCAAGCCUGGCUUGGUAUUGGGCGCCGCGGUCCGCCGCGCGCCUUAAUGUGUCCGGCUGAGCCGUCCGUCUCUAAGCGUUGUGGUAACCUAUCCGCUUGCGAGAUUGGGGGGCGUCUGGCCGUUAAACUCAUUCAAAGGUUGACCUCGGAUCAGGUAGGGAUACCCGCUGAACUUAA